Molecule: transfer RNA, 78 nt
Filed under: Rhodospirillaceae bacterium
Lineage: Bacteria; Pseudomonadati; Pseudomonadota; Alphaproteobacteria; Rhodospirillales; Rhodospirillaceae
Also listed under: 1 other name
Description: tRNA-Met
Rfam family: tRNA
About the family: Transfer RNA (tRNA) molecules are approximately 80 nucleotides in length. Their secondary structure includes four short double-helical elements and three loops (D, anti-codon, and T loops). Further hydrogen bonds mediate the characteristic L-shaped molecular structure. tRNAs have two regions of fundamental functional importance: the anti-codon, which is responsible for specific mRNA codon recognition, and the 3' end, to which the tRNAs corresponding amino acid is attached (by aminoacyl-tRNA synthetases). tRNAs cope with the degeneracy of the genetic code in two manners: having more than one tRNA (with a specific anti-codon) for a particular amino acid; and 'wobble' base-pairing, i.e. permitting non-standard base-pairing at the 3rd anti-codon position.
Source: RNAcentral
GGGCCUGUAGCUCAAAUUGGUUAGAGCAGGCCGCUCAUAACGGUCUGGUUGCAGGUUCAAGUCCUGCCGGGCCCACCA